UGCAGUCGAACGAGCGAGAGAGAGCUUGCUUUCUCGAGCGAGUGGCGAACGGGUGAGUAACGCGUGAGGAACCUGCCUCAAAGAGGGGGACAACAGUUGGAAACGACUGCUAAUACCGCAUAAGCCCACGACCCGGCAUCGGGUAGAGGGAAAAGGAGCAAUCCGCUUUGAGAUGGCCUCGCGUCCGAUUAGCUAGUUGGUGAGGUAACGGCCCACCAAGGCGACGAUCGGUAGCCGGACUGAGAGGUUGAACGGCCACAUUGGGACUGAGACACGGCCCAGACUCCUACGGGAGGCAGCAGUGGGGAAUAUUGCACAAUGGGGGAAACCCUGAUGCAGCGACGCCGCGUGGAGGAAGAAGGUCUUCGGAUUGUAAACUCCUGUUGUUGAGGAAGAUAAUGACGGUACUCAACAAGGAAGUGACGGCUAACUACGUGCCAGCAGCCGCGGUAAAACGUAGGUCACAAGCGUUGUCCGGAAUUACUGGGUGUAAAGGGAGCGCAGGCGGGAAGACAAGUUGGAAGUGAAAUCCAUGGGCUCAACCCAUGAACUGCUUUCAAAACUGUUUUUCUUGAGUAGUGCAGAGGUAGGCGGAAUUCCCGGUGUAGCGGUGGAAUGCGUAGAUAUCGGGAGGAACACCAGUGGCGAAGGCGGCCUACUGGGCACCAACUGACGCUGAGGCUCGAAAGUGUGGGUAGCAAACAGGAUUAGAUACCCUGGUAGUCCACACCGUAAACGAUGAUUACUAGGUGUUGGAGGAUUGACCCCUUCAGUGCCGCAGUUAACACAAUAAGUAAUCCACCUGGGGAGUACGACCGCAAGGUUGAAACUCAAAGGAAUUGACGGGGGCCCGCACAAGCAGUGGAGUAUGUGGUUUAAUUCGACGCAACGCGAAGAACCUUACCAAGUCUUGACAUCCCUUGACGAUGCUGGAAACAGUAUUUCUCUUCGGAGCAAGG
Molecule: ribosomal RNA, 959 nt
Filed under: uncultured bacterium
Lineage: Bacteria
Description: bacterial SSU rRNA
Rfam family: Bacterial small subunit ribosomal RNA
Source: RNAcentral